GGAAUGGCAUAAUAAACAUAUUGUAGAGCUGGGCUUUACACCAGGAGUAGGAGUACUCCCGUUAUAGUGAGUAAUAGACUUUCAUCUUAACUAUCUAAAGUUGUUUUUACUCGUUUUUAUGUUUUAAAGAAUAAUGAGUUUAAAUUGUAAAUUAUUAUGUUUUAAAAUUGAAGUGUUGGUUAAACGAAAUGAGAUUUAUAACUUGCUUUGAAAUCGAAUACUGGUUUUGAAAAUUGCGUAAGUGGAGACUAUAUACUUGUGUUAUAUAUAUGUUUUGACAUAUGGUUUGAAUUGAUGGCUUAUGACAAUGUGAUGGCAUGAAUGGCUGGAUUUGUGUUUGUGUGGAAUAUAUGAAUUGUUUUGUUUUACCUUGACAAGCUGGGUAAUAUCAUAUUAUCCAUGUCAUGCUGUUGAAAUUUUUUUUGAUUUGGUGGGGUAAGUGAUUAGCUUACUGCAAUGGGCGAGUUUUCGUGGACCAGCCUAUUAGAGGGGUACGGUAAACCCUGUUAUAUUUUACCUAAGUAUGAGAGGCGCGAAGGGUUUCUCCUAAGGUAGUUUAGAGUUCACUUCACGUCGAACCACCACGUGAGGGUGAAACUCAGCCAACGCCAAGGAACGACUACGUUUUUAAACGUAAAAACAUAUUUUAUGUGUAUAUGUUAAUUUAACAGCCUUAGCGGACUCGAUUGGUUGCCCGGCUCAAGGUGUCACCGAGGAAGAGUUUUGGCACAAGCCAAGUUUUAAGAGAGUCAUAAGCCUUACUGAUUUUUUUUAUGAAAUGUAAUUGUUUUAUAUGGUUGAAAUGAGUUUUAAUGUUAUGAAUCAUAUUAUGAAGAGAUGUUUUAAUUCUCUCCAUUUACUUGGCUUUAGAUGUUAUAGAUGAACUUUGCUUACUCACUGGGUUUAUAAAAACUCACCCCCUUCUUUUCACCCAUUUCAGGUUCAGAGCAGUCUGUAGACAGUCGAUUUUGUCGAGGGUUUGCUUUUGGAUUUGCACCCUUAGAAAUCGUAGGUCUACAGUCCUGUUUAUUUUUGUUAUUUUGGGGCUCACAUGUCAUUGUAGAAUAUUUUUGUAUACCUUGGCG
Molecule: long non-coding RNA, 1085 nt
Filed under: Theobroma cacao (cacao)
Lineage: Eukaryota; Viridiplantae; Streptophyta; Magnoliopsida; Malvales; Malvaceae
Description: long non-coding RNA (TCAC_LNC005332)
Source: RNAcentral